RNAcentral lists this ribosomal RNA (753 nucleotides) under uncultured Comamonadaceae bacterium. Its description in RNAcentral is "bacterial SSU rRNA". It matches the Rfam family "Bacterial small subunit ribosomal RNA", at positions 28 to 776 of the family's 1533-position model. Lineage: Bacteria; Pseudomonadati; Pseudomonadota; Betaproteobacteria; Burkholderiales; Comamonadaceae. The record is from RNAcentral.
AUUGAACGCUGGCGGCAUGCCUUACACAUGCAAGUCGAACGGCAGCACGGGAGCAAUCGUGGUGGCGAGUGGCGAACGGGUGAGUAAUACAUCGGAACGUGCCCAAUCGUGGGGGAUAACGCAGCGAAAGCUGUGCUAAUACCGCAUACGAUCUACGGAUGAAAGCAGGGGAUCGCAAGACCUUGCGCGAAUGGAGCGGCCGAUGGCAGAUUAGGUAGUUGGUGAGGUAAAGGCUCACCAAGCCGUCGAUCUGUAGCUGGUCUGAGAGGACGACCAGCCACACUGGGACUGAGACACGGCCCAGACUCCUACGGGAGGCAGCAGUGGGGAAUUUUGGACAAUGGGCGAAAGCCUGAUCCAGCCAUGCCGCGUGCAGGAUGAAGGCCUUCGGGUUGUAAACUGCUUUUGUACGGAACGAAACUGCCUUUUCUAAUAAAGAGGGCUAAUGACGGUACCGUAAGAAUAAGCACCGGCUAACUACGUGCCAGCAGCCGCGGUAAUACGUAGGGUGCAAGCGUUAAUCGGAAUUACUGGGCGUAAAGCGUGCGCAGGCGGUUAUGUAAGACAGUUGUGAAAUCCCCGGGCUCAACCUGGGAACUGCAUCUGUGACUGCAUAGCUAGAGUACGGUAGAGGGGGAUGGAAUUCCGCGUGUAGCAGUGAAAUGCGUAGAUAUGCGGAGGAACACCGAGGGCGAAGGCAAUCCCCUGGACCUGUACUGACGCUCAUGCACGAAAGCGUGGGGAGCAAACAGG